RNAcentral lists this ribosomal RNA (652 nucleotides) under uncultured Thiomonas sp. RNAcentral describes it as "bacterial SSU rRNA". It matches the Rfam family "Bacterial small subunit ribosomal RNA", at positions 28 to 677 of the family's 1533-position model. Lineage: Bacteria; Pseudomonadati; Pseudomonadota; Betaproteobacteria; Burkholderiales. The record is from RNAcentral.
AUUGAACGCUAGCGGCAUGCUUUACACAUGCAAGUCGAACGGCAGCGCGGGGCAACCUGGCGGCGAGUGGCGAACGGGUGAGUAAUACAUCGGAACGUGCCCUGUGAUGGGGGAUAACUACGCGAAAGCGUGGCUAAUACCGCAUACGACCUACGGGUGGAAGUGGGGGAUCGAAAGACCUCACGUCAUAGGAGCGGCCGAUGGCGGAUUAGCUAGUUGGUGAGGUAAAGGCUUACCAAGGCGACGAUCCGUAGCUGGUCUGAGAGGACGACCAGCCACACUGGGACUGAGACACGGCCCAGACUCCUACGGGAGGCAGCAGUGGGGAAUCUUGGACAAUGGGGGCAACCCUGAUCCAGCAAUGCCGCGUGUGGGAUGAAGGCCUUCGGGUUGUAAACCACUUUUGGCGGGGGCGAAAUAUCGAGUGUUAAUACCAUUCGGUGAUGACGGUACCCACAGAAUAAGCACCGGCUAACUACGUGCCAGCAGCCGCGGUAAUACGUAGGGUGCAAGCGUUAAUCGGAAUUACUGGGCGUAAAGCGUGCGCAGGCGGUUUGGUAAGACAGAUGUGAAAUUCCCGGGCUCCCCCCUGGGAACUGCAUUUGUGACUGCCUAACUAGAGUGCGGCAAAGGGGAGUGGAAUCCGCGUGUA